GCCGCGAUAGCUCAGUUGGUAGAGCGCACCCAUGGUAAGGGUGAGGUCCCGGGUUCAAUUCCCGGUCGUGGCUCCA
This 76-nucleotide transfer RNA is filed under the name Candidatus Peregrinibacteria bacterium. Its description in RNAcentral is "tRNA-Thr". It matches the Rfam family "tRNA". From Rfam's summary of the family: Transfer RNA (tRNA) molecules are approximately 80 nucleotides in length. Their secondary structure includes four short double-helical elements and three loops (D, anti-codon, and T loops). Lineage: Bacteria; Candidatus Peregrinibacteriota. The record is from RNAcentral. RNAcentral also lists the same sequence under 1 other name.